Molecule: ribosomal RNA, 253 nt
Filed under: uncultured bacterium
Lineage: Bacteria
Description: partial 16S ribosomal RNA
Rfam family: Bacterial small subunit ribosomal RNA
Source: RNAcentral
UACGGGGGGGGCAAGCGUUGUUCGGAAUUACUGGGCGUAAAGGGCUCGUAGGUGGCCAACUAAGUCAGACGUGAAAUCCCCAGGCUCAACCUGGGAACUGCGUCUGAUACUGGAUGGCUUGAAUUCGGGAGAGGGAUGCGGAAUUCCAGGUGUAGCGGUGAAAUGCGUAGAUAUCUGGAGGAACACCGGUGGCGAAGGCGGCAUCCUGGACCGGCACUGACACUGAGGAGCGAAAGCCAGGGGAGCAAACGGG